UUCGAUAAAGCCGAACCCAUCGAAAGAUGGGGACGGGAAACCACAAGUUUCAGAUAGUUUCGUUGAUUCAAGCUCCUAGUUUUUUUGGCGCUUCCUUAAGAUCUUGAUUCUCUACUAAACAGUAUUGAGCUGCAGCGC
This 138-nucleotide non-coding RNA is filed under the name unclassified sequences. RNAcentral's name for it is "c-di-GMP sequence". It matches the Rfam family "c-di-GMP-I-GGC riboswitch aptamer". The record is from Rfam by way of RNAcentral.